GGAGAUAUAGCUCGGUUGGUAGAGUUCUCGCCUCGAAUGCAUAAGGCCCUGGGUUUAAUCCCCAGCACCACCA
This 73-nucleotide transfer RNA is filed under the name Ictidomys tridecemlineatus (thirteen-lined ground squirrel). RNAcentral describes it as "Spermophilus tridecemlineatus (thirteen-lined ground squirrel) tRNA". It matches the Rfam family "tRNA". From Rfam's summary of the family: Transfer RNA (tRNA) molecules are approximately 80 nucleotides in length. Their secondary structure includes four short double-helical elements and three loops (D, anti-codon, and T loops). Lineage: Eukaryota; Metazoa; Chordata; Mammalia; Rodentia; Sciuridae. The record is from Rfam by way of RNAcentral.